CUGGCUCAGAACGAACGCUGGCGGCAGGCCUAACACAUGCAAGUCGAGCGAGAUCUUCGGAUCUAGCGGCGGACGGGUGAGUAACGCGUGGGAACGUACCCUUUUCUACGGAAUAGCCUCGGGAAACUGGGAGUAAUACCGUAUACGCCCCUUGGGGGAAAGAUUUAUCGGAGAAGGAUCGGCCCGCGUUGGAUUAGGUAGUUGGUGGGGUAAUGGCCUACCAAGCCGACGAUCCAUAGCUGGUUUGAGAGGAUGAUCAGCCACACUGGGACUGAGACACGGCCCAGACUCCUACGGGAGGCAGCAGAGGGGAAUCUUAGACAAUGGGGGCAACCCUGAUCUAGCCAUGCCUUGUGGGUGAUGAAGGCCUUAGGGUUGUAAAGCUCUUCAGCUGGGAAGAUAAUGAC
This 407-nucleotide ribosomal RNA is filed under the name Paracoccus sp. VV40. RNAcentral's name for it is "bacterial SSU rRNA". It matches the Rfam family "Bacterial small subunit ribosomal RNA", at positions 19 to 455 of the family's 1533-position model. The record is from RNAcentral. Lineage: Bacteria; Pseudomonadati; Pseudomonadota; Alphaproteobacteria; Rhodobacterales; Paracoccaceae.